UGCCGCGUGAGUGAAGAAGGCCUUCGGGUUGUAAAGCUCUUUCGGCGGGGAAGAAAAGGUACGUGCUAAUACCACGGACUAAUGACAGUACCCGAAGAAGAAGCACCGGCUAACUACGUGCCAGCAGCCGCGGUAAUACGUAGGGUGCAGGCGUUAAUCGGAAUUACUGGGCGUAAAGCGUGCGCAGGCGGUUUGUUAAGACAGAUGUGAAAUCCCCGGGCUUAACCUGGGAACUGCGUAUGUUACUGGCAAGCUAGAGUGUGGCAGAGGGGGGUGGAAUUCCAAGUGUAGCAGUGAAAUGCGUAGAUAUUUGGAGGAACACCGAUGGCGAAGGCAGCCCCCUGGGCUAACACUGACGCUCAUGCACGAAAGCGUGGGGAGCAAACAGGAUUAGAUACCCUGGUAGUCCACGCCCUAAACUAUGUCAACUGGUUGUCGGGGAAGCAAUUCCUUGGUAACGAAGCUAACACG
This 471-nucleotide ribosomal RNA is filed under the name uncultured archaeon. Its description in RNAcentral is "bacterial SSU rRNA". It matches the Rfam family "Bacterial small subunit ribosomal RNA", at positions 395 to 859 of the family's 1533-position model. The record is from RNAcentral.